Molecule: long non-coding RNA, 476 nt
Organism: Pezoporus occidentalis (night parrot)
Lineage: Eukaryota; Metazoa; Chordata; Aves; Psittaciformes; Psittacidae
Exons: 3
Source: RefSeq, a predicted model, not a curated record
CAUUGAGACAGAGCCCUAUGGCAGGAAGGCUGCAGAGUCCUGCCAUGUCAGAAGGAGAAGGGAGGUCACUGGGCAACCCUUACUCAUGGGGAGUGUGCGCUCAUUGCAGCAUCAGACCUGCCUCUUUUCUUCUCUUGACCUGCACAGACCAGGAGCAGUCCUUGAGUGCUGUACCUGGGAUAUUGCAGAUGGAGCCACAUGCCUGUAAAACAGUUCUAAUUGAAAAGAGGCUGCCAUUGCUUCCCAAACAAUUGAAAACCGCACAAAACCAAACUUGGGGUUAGAACUCCCUCUUUGACUUUGGUUCAACACUGUCAGCUGGAAAACUUCCAUCCAGAGGCUGAUGUCAUCAUUACGAAUUGUCAGUUCCUAGUAUCACAGCUAAUGCUCUGGUGGUUUUGUUAGAAAGACAGUUGCUGUAGCGGCAGCAGCUAAUUGUUCUUUGGAUUUGUCUUUCAUUGUAGAAUUUUAUGAAU